CAGCAGCCCGAGUGGUGGUCGUUUUUAUUGAGCCUAAAGCGUCCGUAGCCGGUCUAGUAAAUCCUUGGAUAAAUCGUACAGCUUAACUGUACGGCUCCCGGGGAGACUGCUAGACUUGGGACUGGGAGAGGUCGGAGGUACUCCAGGGGUAGGGGUGAAAUCUUGUAAUCCUUGGGGGACCACCAGUGGCGAAGGCGUCCGACCAGAACGGGUCCGACGGUAAGGGACGAAGCCCUGGGUCGCGAACCGGAUUAGAUACCCGUGUAGUCC
This 270-nucleotide ribosomal RNA is filed under the name uncultured archaeon. RNAcentral's name for it is "partial 16S ribosomal RNA". It matches the Rfam family "Archaeal small subunit ribosomal RNA", at positions 477 to 747 of the family's 1478-position model. The record is from RNAcentral.